RNAcentral lists this ribosomal RNA (832 nucleotides) under Staphylococcus epidermidis. Its description in RNAcentral is "bacterial SSU rRNA". It matches the Rfam family "Bacterial small subunit ribosomal RNA", at positions 49 to 862 of the family's 1533-position model. The record is from RNAcentral. Lineage: Bacteria; Bacillati; Bacillota; Bacilli; Caryophanales; Staphylococcaceae.
CUAUACAUGCAAGUCGAGCGAACAGACGAGGAGCUUGCUCCUCUGACGUUAGCGGCGGACGGGUGAGUAACACGUGGAUAACCUACCUAUAAGACUGGGAUAACUUCGGGAAACCGGAGCUAAUACCGGAUAAUAUAUUGAACCGCAUGGUUCAAUAGUGAAAGACGGUUUUGCUGUCACUUAUAGAUGGAUCCGCGCCGCAUUAGCUAGUUGGUAAGGUAACGGCUUACCAAGGCAACGAUGCGUAGCCGACCUGAGAGGGUGAUCGGCCACACUGGAACUGAGACACGGUCCAGACUCCUACGGGAGGCAGCAGUAGGGAAUCUUCCGCAAUGGGCGAAAGCCUGACGGAGCAACGCCGCGUGAGUGAUGAAGGUCUUCGGAUCGUAAAACUCUGUUAUUAGGGAAGAACAAAUGUGUAAGUAACUAUGCACGUCUUGACGGUACCUAAUCAGAAAGCCACGGCUAACUACGUGCCAGCAGCCGCGGUAAUACGUAGGUGGCAAGCGUUAUCCGGAAUUAUUGGGCGUAAAGCGCGCGUAGGCGGUUUUUUAAGUCUGAUGUGAAAGCCCACGGCUCAACCGUGGAGGGUCAUUGGAAACUGGAAAACUUGAGUGCAGAAGAGGAAAGUGGAAUUCCAUGUGUAGCGGUGAAAUGCGCAGAGAUAUGGAGGAACACCAGUGGCGAAGGCGACUUUCUGGUCUGUAACUGACGCUGAUGUGCGAAAGCGUGGGGAUCAAACAGGAUUAGAUACCCUGGUAGUCCACGCCGUAAACGAUGAGUGCUAAGUGUUAGGGGGUUUCCGCCCCCUAGUGCUGCAGCUAACGCAUUA